UUGCUUUCUGUACCACUUGUGACAAGUUUCUUAUCUUUGAUCACUGAUUCUUUCCUUUCAAAUUACUCAAUUACUGUUUAUAUGAUAUUCGAAGGUGAUUUUGAUUCAUCCGAAAGCUUUGUUAGGUUCAUAAGUUGUGUCCUAACUCCUAAUGGAGAUAAGAAGUUCUGAUAAUAAUAAUAGUGGUAAAUUUGUUACCUAUGGGAAAAGGAGUUUCCAUGACAUGUGGAAGCAUUACAAAUGGAAGCUUUUACAAAGUAGAAUUUCGUAUCAAAUACAUUCAAUACAAUAGUGGUCCUUGAUUCAUCAAGAUUAUUAAUUUGCGUAAUUCUCCUGUGAAUUAGCUAUAGUGAUGUCACAAUGAAAAAGUGAUACCUAACUACAUGUUUAUAGAAAGAUAUUGGAUACUCUAGGCACUUGGAAUGACCAAAAAAGUGAAAAACAUAGUCCUGAUGCAUCCAUUCCAAAAUUAUUACAUUAUGCUUUUAUGUCACGUUUAAAAAAUUAGAGCAUUACAAUUACGAAAACUAGAAAUUAGCUUUGCUAGUAAUUGAAAACAGCAAUAUCAUGUUGUAACAAGAGCUUAAAACCAAGCUCGGAAGUCCACUUCAGGUUCAUAUAGAAGAUUACCAUGCUUGACGAAUUUGGCAUAAGAAACUUAAUAGGUUUUGUUAUCAACAAUUGUGACCUCUGUUUAUGAAUUUAUCUCUUCAAUUUCAUAAUAGUAAUUGAAGUUAUAUUACUUUUGACUAUCAAGAAUAGGUGCUCCCACUUGCGCUCAGCAUAUGAAAUAAUUGAAAACAAAACACAUAUUAAAGAGAAUAACAACACAUAACCUUGCAUUUAGAGUUAAAUAAACAAGACAAAACUUGAGUUUGAUUGUUCAUAAAAAUAUAUGGCUUCCCAAUGCAAAAAGGAAAGAGGACUCAAUAUCCAAACAAAACUAAGUAAACUC
This is a non-coding RNA of Arachis ipaensis, 955 nucleotides long. The record is from RefSeq and is a predicted model, not a curated record. Lineage: Eukaryota; Viridiplantae; Streptophyta; Magnoliopsida; Fabales; Fabaceae.